This 1392-nucleotide ribosomal RNA is filed under the name metagenome. Its description in RNAcentral is "bacterial SSU rRNA". It matches the Rfam family "Bacterial small subunit ribosomal RNA". The record is from RNAcentral.
AGAGUUUGAUCCUGGCUCAGGACGAACGCUGGCGGCGCGCCUAACACAUGCAAGUCGAACGAGCGAGAGAGAGCUUGCUUUCUCGAGCGAGUGGCGAACGGGUGAGUAACGCGUGAGGAACCUGCCUCAAAGAGGGGGACAACAGUUGGAAACGACUGCUAAUACCGCAUAAGCCCACGACCCGGCAUCGGGAAGAGGGAAAAGGAGCAAUCCGCUUUGAGAUGGCCUCGCGUCCGAUUAGCUAGUUGGUGAGGUAACGGCCCACCAAGGCGACGAUCGGUAGCCGGACUGAGAGGUUGAACGGCCACAUUGGGACUGAGACACGGCCCAGACUCCUACGGGAGGCAGCAGUGGGGAAUAUUGCACAAUGGGGGAAACCCUGAUGCAGCGACGCCGCGUGGAGGAAGAAGGUCUUCGGAUUGUAAACUCCUGUUGUUGAGGAAGAUAAUGACGGUACUCAACAAGGAAGUGACGGCUAACUACGUGCCAGCAGCCGCGGUAAAACGUAGGUCACAAGCGUUGUCCGGAAUUACUGGGUGUAAAGGGAGCGCAGGCGGGAAGACAAGUUGGAAGUGAAAUCCAUGGGCUCAACCCAUGAACUGCUUUCAAAACUGUUUUUCUUGAGUAGUGCAGAGGUAGGCGAAUUCCCGGUGUAGCGGUGGAAUGCGUAGAUAUCGGGAGGAACACCAGUGGCGAAGGCGGCCUACUGGGCACCAACUGACGCUGAGGCUCGAAAGUGUGGGUAGCAAACAGGAUUAGAUACCCUGGUAGUCCACACCGUAAACGAUGAUUACUAGGUGUUGGAGGAUUGACCCCUUCAGUGCCGCAGUUAACACAAUAAGUAAUCCACCUGGGGAGUACGACCGCAAGGUUGAAACUCAAAGGAAUUGACGGGGGCCCGCACAAGCAGUGGAGUAUGUGGUUUAAUUCGACGCAACGCGAAGAACCUUACCAAGUCUUGACAUCCUGCGACGGUUCUGGAAACAGAGCUUUCCUUCGGGACGCAGAGACAGGUGGUGCAUGGUUGUCGUCAGCUCGUGUCGUGAGAUGUUGGGUUAAGUCCCGCAACGAGCGCAACCCUUAUGGUCAGUUACUACGCAAGAGGACUCUGGCCAGACUGCCGUUGACAAAACGGAGGAAGGUGGGGAUGACGUCAAAUCAUCAUGCCCUUUAUGACUUGGGCUACACACGUACUACAAUGGCGUUAAACAAAGAGAAGCAAGACCGCGAGGUGGAGCAAAACUCAGAAACAACGUCCCAGUUCGGACUGCAGGCUGCAACUCGCCUGCACGAAGCCGGAAUUGCUAGUAAUCGUGGAUCAGCAUGCCACAGUGAAUACGUUCCCGGGCCUUGUACACACCGCCCGUCACACCAUGAGAGCCGGGGGGACCC